Molecule: transfer RNA, 71 nt
Filed under: Loxodonta africana (African savanna elephant)
Lineage: Eukaryota; Metazoa; Chordata; Mammalia; Proboscidea; Elephantidae
Rfam family: tRNA
About the family: Transfer RNA (tRNA) molecules are approximately 80 nucleotides in length. Their secondary structure includes four short double-helical elements and three loops (D, anti-codon, and T loops).
Source: Rfam by way of RNAcentral
GCAUUGGUGGUUCAAUGGUAGAAUUCUAGCCUUCCAAGCUGGGGACCCGGGUUCAAUUCCCCACCUAUGCC